GCCCGCCUAGCUCAAUCGGAUAGAGCGUCAGACUCUUAAUCUGAAGGCUGCGAGUUCGACCCUCGCGGUGGGCU
Sparassis crispa is the source of this 74-nucleotide non-coding RNA. The record is from the annotation of a RefSeq genome assembly. Lineage: Eukaryota; Fungi; Basidiomycota; Agaricomycetes; Polyporales; Sparassidaceae.